GAUGAACGCUGGCGGCGUGCCUAAUACAUGCAAGUCGAGCGAACAGACGAGGAGCUUGCUCCUCUGACGUUAGCGGCGGACGGGUGAGUAACACGUGGAUAACCUACCUAUAAGACUGGGAUAACUUCGGGAAACCGGAGCUAAUACCGGAUAAUAUAUUGAACCGCAUGGUUCAAUAGUGAAAUACGGUUUUGCUGUCACUUAUAGAUGGAUCCGCGCCGCAUUAGCUAGUUGGUAAGGUAACGGCUUACCAAGGCGACGAUGCGUAGCCGACCUGAGAGGGUGAUCGGCCACACUGGAACUGAGACACGGUCCAGGCUCCUACGGGAGGCAGCAGUAGGGAAUCGUCCGCAAUGGGCGAAAGCCUGACGGAGCAACGCCGCGUGAGUGAUGAAGGUCUUCGGAUCGUAAAACUCUGUUAUUAGGGAAGAACAAAUGUGUAAGUAACUAUGCACGUCUUGACGGUACCUAAUCAGAAAGCCACGGCUAACUACGUG
RNAcentral lists this ribosomal RNA (497 nucleotides) under uncultured bacterium. Its description in RNAcentral is "partial 16S ribosomal RNA". It matches the Rfam family "Bacterial small subunit ribosomal RNA", at positions 28 to 507 of the family's 1533-position model. The record is from RNAcentral.